Molecule: long non-coding RNA, 825 nt
Organism: Drosophila grimshawi
Lineage: Eukaryota; Metazoa; Arthropoda; Insecta; Diptera; Drosophilidae
Exons: 3
Source: RefSeq, a predicted model, not a curated record
AACUUUAUAUUUAGAAACUCUAAAGAUCAUACUUUAAAUACAUAUAGGAAUGGUACUAAAUUAAAGCCAACUGAAUAGACUAGUUGAGUCAGUGCGAAUCUUUGAGAACUAUGUCAUAUGUGAGAUAUGUAAGCGAAUUUUCAGAUAUUCUAAUAUGCAUUGGUCUUAAUUACAUAAUACAAUCAACACAUUUAUAUUUCAUAUAGAUAGAAUGGGUUCAUGUGCUCCAUCUGUAACUUCAUUUAACGUUCUGAAAACAAAUAAAAUACUAAAAUUGAAGGCUUGUUAGUGAUAUUAAUUUUAAAAACGAAACUGACCCAAAUAAUACAACAGCCUAGUUUAUCAUACAGAAAAUAUUUUAAUUUGCUUGAGAUGCCUUUAAAAAAAAAAACCUUGACAAUGACAUCCCAGCAUCAGUUUUAAACUAAAGUGAGCAGCCGUUAGUUUAUAGUCAAAUCAAAUAAAAUCUAAAACUGUUAAGCAAAUAUUUAAUAUACAUUUAAUGAAAUAUCUGGCUGGAUGUUGUAUUGGAAUAAUGUCAGAGACACAUACGUAUACAAGGCAGCUCAGUCAUCUGUUAUGGCAAAUUAGAAUAUUUAGUUCACCCAAAACUAGUAUGAUCUGGUGGCUGGUGUGGUAUGAAGCCAGGUCUGCAAUGCGCUUGGGACUCAUUUCUCGCACAUUCGCUUAAACAUUCAAUUGGAUAGCCGGAAAUGGAUGCGAAAGACUGCAGCAUUCAGUGAUUGAAUGCUCUGUCGUUAUAGGGGUCAAUUGAAUUAAAUUGGAGUAACAAUGGGAAGCCUCAAAUGUUCUUCUUAUGUAUUU